ACAAGGGGAGAGCAGGGAGGCUGCCACUGGAGGAUCCCUGGGUUGGGACCCAGGGUAGUUGGUGGGCCUGGGUCCCCGCCAUUCCCUCUUGUACUGCACCUGGCCAUGCGGUGGCUGAGUCAAACUGCAACCGGCCCUUGAGACAAGGGGCUAGACUUUGGGGGUUUUGGUUGGCCACUGAGGCAGGUGCAAGGACUGUUGCUAGCCUGCUUCCCCCCUCCCCGCCAGAAGGAGAUGAGGAUGGAUUAGGGGGCACUGCUGGAGGGAAGUGGCCUGAAGAAGGACACCGUCAACCAGACUAGGCAGAUUGUGCCAUGUGGAGAGACCAAAAUGCUGGAGUAAAGAGACUUCUAUUGGAGGGCCUGGGUGGCUCGGCUUGCCGAACAGCAGAGGGAGUUGUUCUGGCUGCUGUGGAGGUCGGCACCCAGACCGAACAAGAGAUCCGGCACCGAGGGCGAGAGGCCAGGAACGCUGAACUGCUUCGCCUGUAGGUGACAGGGACACUAAAGGAGGGAGUGUCCCUCCUGGGAGGGGGCAGAGAGGCCCCACCCAGAAAAGGCACCCCCUGUGAGAGUAACAGGGGGGGCCCCCAGCUUGUUGGGUCUGUGGGGAGCCAGGGCACCUGAAGAGAGAGUGCCCCUACAGGACUCCCAAGGCCCGGGCCAGCCCAGAAGGAAGGGCUAGGGCCCAAACAAGCAGGAGUAGGGAUGUGGCAGGGGGAAGACCCAGAAAGUGCUUCCACUGCCACCAACGGGGACAUCUAAAGAGGCACUGCCCCCUGAGGCAGAAAGGGGGAGUGUCUGAGACAAGGGCUCGGUCAGAGACUAGCCACAGAAAAGAGGUGGUGAAGACGGAGGCCCCCAGAGAGAAAGGGGCUGGGGCAGAGAGGCCCUACCGAAAUGAGGGAACCCACAUAGGAGCCAGGAGGGCCCAUGUAGGAACCCAAACAGAAGUAGGAACCCAAGUAGGACCAGGACGUUCAACAGUGGGAACCCAGACCCUACAGCUGGUAAGCCGCUGGCUCCAGACUUUGGAGGGCCUGUGAGAGGAAAGGGAUGCCCUGCAGGCCCCACUAUGAAGGAAGCUGGGGUGAUAGGGACCCCUUUCCUCCCCUCCCCCGUGAGCAUUUUUUAAGGGGGAGGGUUUGUGGUGGGACAGCUACCCCACCCCCAUGUGAGAGGGAACUAGAGUAGGCCAGAAUGGCUGUGCAAGCCGUCUUCCAAUCAGGGAAGGGCCUAGUGAGAGCCAAUCAGGGCCGAGAUUAGAGCCAGCCAAUCAGGGCUAGGCUAGGCCCUAUAUAAUGGCUGCCCAGGAGAGCAGCGGGUAGUCUGUCCCAGAAUUUCAUGGGGGAAGGUCUGUCUCCAGAGCAGAAGACCAGCAUCUCGGGCUGGGCAAUACUGCAUCUGGCCAUCCGAUGGCCGAGACAAAUUGUAACCGGCCCUUGAGACAAGGGGCUAGACUUUGGGGGUUGCGGUUGGCUACCGAGGCAGGUGCAAGGACUGUUGCUAACCCCCGCCCCUGGAAUGGGGUGAGGAUGGACUAGUGGGCACUGCUGGAGGCAGUGUCAAGAGGUGAGCAACGUGGCUCCAGAUCCCAACGGAGGAAAAGGGACGGAUGGGACGCUGCCAGCAGAGGGCAUUCCCCAUGGACUGAGCUAAUUCCCAGAGCGACCAGCGGGAGGCGCAAUGCUGGAAUAGGAGCCUCCUUCCAGCUCUCUUCCAGGCCCUGGGAUCUGGCACAGCCUCCCAGACGGGCGCUUCCUGUAGCUGAGCCACGUCAGGGAGCAGCGGGGACAGGUCACCUCGUCCCAGCAAUGCCGGCUCUCAAAGAGGCUUAGAUGGAAGACCCCAGUCCCUCAUUGAGAGGUGGUGUCCAGGAUCCUGGAGACUGUUUCCUGCUGCAGGAGGUUUGUGCGGGGAGAGAUCACUCACUGUCACGCCCCAGGGGUCUCCAACCCGGGUCUGCAGGGUUCAUGGGAGCAGCCACACUCCAACCCUCCACCUGGAAGCCUGCUGAAAAUUGCUUACCUCGGACCCAUGAAGUUCAGCCCCAGUUUGAGGCUCCACUCCUGAGGUCCUAUUGGAGGAGUCCCAGGAAAGCUCACUGGCCCCCUGGCCCUGCGUAAGACAGCAGCAGGAACACGAAGCUGACUGAACACCAGGCCUGCUCCCGGUUCUGGACCGUGCGCUGCCUGGUUCUGCUGCCGCUCCCCUGGCUUGAUUUCCUGGCAUCUGAGUUGUGGUGGUGAUAGCAAGUUUGUCUUUUGCUGCUGAUCUUCCAGUAUCCUGACCUGGCUGACUCUCAGCUCCUGUCAUGUGAGUGUGGACUCUGGCUCUGACCAGUAGGUCUGGCUGCACUUGACCUAGCCAUGACAUUGACUUUGGUACAACUUCUCCAUUGCCCCUUUCUGAUCUCCAGCAAGAUACACCAGUCCCUUGGCUCCCAAAGUCCCAGUUGCCCGCUAUUCAAGGGCUGAGGGGUAGUGCUUGUAUCGCCCCACCCCAGCUGCUUUUCCUAGGGGAAUCUCCCUAGAGCAGAGGAGAAAUCUGCUCUUUUCUUAGGAUCAGUCCCACUCUGGCCUCAGCUCAGCUACUUUGUUUACCUGGGGUCAGGCACCACUUUUGAAGCCCUUAGCGUGGGGGUGGAGGUGGGAGCAGAGGCUGAAGCUCCAGCAGUUUCCACCAAAGAACACCCCCCUGUCUUUCUAUGGUCCGGCUAGGGCCCCCCAUCCAUCCUGGAGCUGAACACCAGAUGGGAGCUGAUGGAUUGUCCUUGGUGGGCCAUGUUCUUGUGUGUGAUGAGAGGUCCAGGAGCAGAUGCACCACGCCUGGCCAGGACCAGGCUAAACAGCCUGUAAUGCUAGACAGUCAGCCAGUGAGGCCAGUUUGUAGAAUGUGGAAGAGCCCUUUGGCGAGGCAUUGGAGGAUUCACCAUGAAGGUGGCAGCAGCGGCAGUGCCUGGGGUCCCUAUGGGCCAAGCCUCAACUCCUGCCAAUCCAGGCUAAUCUCCCCCUGCUUUCAGCAGCGCUUGGCUUUAGCUGCUGGGCCUGUGAGCCUAGACCAGGGGUCUCAAACUCAAAUGACCACGAGGGCCGGCUGAGGACUAGUUCAUUGGCCCGA
Molecule: long non-coding RNA, 3119 nt
Organism: Malaclemys terrapin pileata
Lineage: Eukaryota; Metazoa; Chordata; Testudines; Emydidae
Exons: 4
Source: RefSeq, a predicted model, not a curated record